This 343-nucleotide unclassified non-coding RNA is filed under the name soil metagenome. RNAcentral describes it as "partial contains 5.8S ribosomal RNA, internal transcribed spacer 2, and large subunit ribosomal RNA". The stretch from base 1 to 120 matches the Rfam family "5.8S ribosomal RNA", at positions 35 to 154 of the family's 154-position model. The record is from RNAcentral.
GAUGAAGAACGUAGCGAAACGCGAUAAGUAAUGUGAAUUGCAGAAUCCAGUGAAUCAUCGAAUCUUUGAACGCACAUUGCGCCCGCCAGCAUUCUGGCGGGCAUGCCUGUUCGAGCGUCAUUUCAACCCUCGACCUCCCCUUGGGGAGGUCGGCGUUGGGGACCGGCAGCACACCGCCGGCCCUGAAAUGGAGUGGCGGCCCGUCCGCGGCGACCUCUGCGCAGUAAUACAGCUCGCACCGGGACCCCGACGCGGCCACGCCGUAAAACACCCAACUUCUGAACGUUGACCUCGGAUCAGGUAGGACUACCCGCUGAACUUAAGCAUAUCAAUAAGCGGAGGA